AUUGAACGCUGGCGGCAGGCUUAACACAUGCAAGUCGAGCGAGCGGCGGACGGGUGAGUAAUGACUGGGAAACUGCCUGAUGGAGGGGGAUAACUACUGGAAAAGGUAGCUAAUCCCGCAUACCAUCAGAUGUGCCCAGUGGGGAUUAGCUAGUAGUAGGUGUAAUGGCUCACCUAGGCCAAGAUCCCUAGCUGGUCUGAGAGGAUGACCAGCCACACUGGAACUGAGACACGGUCCAGACUCCUACGUGAGGCAGCAGUGGGGAAUAUGGCACAAUGGGCGCAAGCCUGAUGCAGCCAUGCCGCGUGUGUGAAGAAGGCCUUCGGGUUGUAAAGCACUUUCAGCAAGGAGGCGUUACUCGCAGAAGAAGCACCGGCUAACUCCGUGCCAGCAGCCGCGGUAAUUC
This 406-nucleotide ribosomal RNA is filed under the name uncultured bacterium. RNAcentral's name for it is "partial 16S ribosomal RNA". It matches the Rfam family "Bacterial small subunit ribosomal RNA", at positions 30 to 526 of the family's 1533-position model. The record is from RNAcentral.